This 797-nucleotide ribosomal RNA is filed under the name Curtobacterium sp. RNAcentral describes it as "bacterial SSU rRNA". It matches the Rfam family "Bacterial small subunit ribosomal RNA", at positions 56 to 865 of the family's 1533-position model. The record is from RNAcentral. Lineage: Bacteria; Bacillati; Actinomycetota; Actinomycetes; Micrococcales; Microbacteriaceae.
UGCAGUCGAACGAUGAUGCCCAGCUUGCUGGGUUGAUUAGUGGCGAACGGGUGAGUAACACGUGAGUAACCUGCCCCUGACUCUGGGAUAAGCGUUGGAAACGACGUCUAAUACUGGAUAUGAUCGCCGGCCGCAUGGUCUGGUGGUGGAAAGAUUUUUUGGUUGGGGAUGGACUCGCGGCCUAUCAGCUUGUUGGUGAGGUAAUGGCUCACCAAGGCGACGACGGGUAGCCGGCCUGAGAGGGUGACCGGCCACACUGGGACUGAGACACGGCCCAGACUCCUACGGGAGGCAGCAGUGGGGAAUAUUGCACAAUGGGCGAAAGCCUGAUGCAGCAACGCCGCGUGAGGGAUGACGGCCUUCGGGUUGUAAACCUCUUUUAGUAGGGAAGAAGCGAAAGUGACGGUACCUGCAGAAAAAGCACCGGCUAACUACGUGCCAGCAGCCGCGGUAAUACGUAGGGUGCAAGCGUUGUCCGGAAUUAUUGGGCGUAAAGAGCUCGUAGGCGGUUUGUCGCGUCUGCUGUGAAAUCCCGAGGCUCAACCUCGGGCUUGCAGUGGGUACGGGCAGACUAGAGUGCGGUAGGGGAGAUUGGAAUUCCUGGUGUAGCGGUGGAAUGCGCAGAUAUCAGGAGGAACACCGAUGGCGAAGGCAGAUCUCUGGGCCGUAACUGACGCUGAGGAGCGAAAGCAUGGGGAGCGAACAGGAUUAGAUACCCUGGUAGUCCAUGCCGUAAACGUUGGGCGCUAGAUGUAGGGACCUUUCCACGGUUUCUGUGUCGUAGCUACGCAUUAAGC